RNAcentral lists this ribosomal RNA (247 nucleotides) under uncultured bacterium. RNAcentral's name for it is "partial 16S ribosomal RNA". It matches the Rfam family "Bacterial small subunit ribosomal RNA", at positions 523 to 769 of the family's 1533-position model. The record is from RNAcentral.
AUACGUAGGGGGCAAGCGUUAUCCGGAAUUACUGGGUGUAAAGGGAGAGUAGGCGGCAUGAUAAGUUAGAUGUGAAAGCCUUGGGCUUAACCCGAGGAUUGCAUUUAAAACUAUCAAGCUAGAAUACAGGAGAGGUAAGUGGAAUUCCUAGUGUAGCGGUGAAAUGCGUAGAUAUUAGGAAGAACACCAGUGGCGAAGGCGGCUUACUGGUCCAUAACUGACGCUGAGGUGCGAAAGCGUGGGGAGC